UUGAGUUUGAAUCCCUGGCUCAGAUUGAACGCUGGCGGCAGGCCUAACACAUGCAAGUCGAGCGGAUGAGGAAGAGCUUGCUCUUCGAUUCAGCGGCGGACGGGUGAGUAAUGCCUAGGAACUGCCUGGUAGUGGGGGGACAACGUUUCGAAAGGAACGCUAAUACCGCAUACGUCCUACGGGAGAAAGCAGGGGACCUUCGGGCCUUGCGCUAUCAGAUGAGCCUAGGUCGGAUUAGCUAGUUGGUGAGGUAAUGGCUCACCAAAGGCGACGAUCCGUAACUGGUCUGAGAGGAUGAUCAGUCACACUGGAACUGAGACACGGUCCAGACUCCUACGGGAGGCAGCAGUGGGGAAUAUUGGACAAUGGGCGAAAGCCUGAUCCAGCCAUGCCGCGUGUGUGAAGAAGGUCUUCGGAUUGUAAAGCACUUUAAGUUGGGAGGAAGGGCAUUAACCUAAUACGUUAGUGUUUUGACGUUACCGACAGAAUAAGCACCGGCUAACUCUGUGCCAGCAGCCGCGGUAAUACAGAGGGUGCAAGCGUUAAUCGGAAUUACUGGGCGUAAAGCGCGCGUAGGUGGUUUGUUAAGUUGAAUGUGAAAUCCCCGGGCUCAACCUGGGAACUGCAUCCAAAACUGGCAAGCUAGAGUAUGGUAGAGGGUGGUGGAAUUUCCUGUGUAGCGGUGAAAUGCGUAGAUAUAGGAAGGAACACCAGUGGCGAAGGCGACCACCUGGACUGAUACUGACACUGAGGUGCGAAAGCGUGGGGAGCCAAACAGGAUUAGAUACCCUGGUAAGUCCUAACGGGCCCCGU
This 813-nucleotide ribosomal RNA is filed under the name Pseudomonas gingeri. Its description in RNAcentral is "bacterial SSU rRNA". It matches the Rfam family "Bacterial small subunit ribosomal RNA", at positions 1 to 809 of the family's 1533-position model. The record is from RNAcentral. Lineage: Bacteria; Pseudomonadati; Pseudomonadota; Gammaproteobacteria; Pseudomonadales; Pseudomonadaceae.